Molecule: ribosomal RNA, 466 nt
Filed under: uncultured bacterium
Lineage: Bacteria
Description: partial 16S ribosomal RNA
Rfam family: Bacterial small subunit ribosomal RNA
Source: RNAcentral
GAUGAACGCUGGCGGCGUGCUUAACACAUGCAAGUCGAACGGUGAAAGAGAGCUUGCUCUCUGGAUCAGUGGCGAACGGGUGAGUAACACGUGAGCAAUCUGCCCCUGACUCUGGGAUAAGCGCUGGAAACGGCGUCUAAUACCGGAUACGAGCUGCGAAGGCAUCUUCAGCAGCUGGAAAGAACUUCGGUCAGGGAUGAGCUCGCGGCCUAUCGGCUAGUUGGUGAGGUAACGGCUCACCAAGGCGUCGACGGGUAGCCGGCCUGAGAGGGUGACCGGCCACACUGGGACUGAGACACGGCCCAGACUCCUACGGGAGGCAGCAGUGGGGAAUAUUGCACAAUGGGCGAAAGCCUGAUGCAGCAACGCCGCGUGAGGGACGACGGCCUUCGGGUUGUAAACCUCUUUUAGCAGGGAAGAAGCGAAAGUGACGGUACCUGCAGAAAAAGCACCGGCUAACUACGUG